RNAcentral lists this ribosomal RNA (305 nucleotides) under uncultured bacterium. RNAcentral describes it as "bacterial SSU rRNA". It matches the Rfam family "Bacterial small subunit ribosomal RNA", at positions 337 to 639 of the family's 1533-position model. The record is from RNAcentral.
UCCUACGGGACGCAGCAGUGAGGAAUAUUGGUCAAUGGCCGAGAGGCUGAACCAGCCAAGUCGCGUGAGGGAUGACGGCCCUACGGGUUGUAAACCUCUUUUGUCGGGGAGCAAGACCCGCCUCGUGCAGGCGGAGCGAGAGUACCCGAAGAAAAAGCAUCGGCUAACUCCGUGCCAGCAGCCGCGGUAAUACGUAGGUGGCGAGCGUUAUCCGGAAUGAUUGGGCGUAAAGGGUGCGUAGGCGGCCUGCUAAGUCUGGAGUGAAAGGUACCGGCUCAACCGGUACAGGCUCUGGAAACUGGCGG